RNAcentral lists this ribosomal RNA (497 nucleotides) under uncultured bacterium. Its description in RNAcentral is "partial 16S ribosomal RNA". It matches the Rfam family "Bacterial small subunit ribosomal RNA", at positions 28 to 507 of the family's 1533-position model. The record is from RNAcentral.
GAUGAACGCUGGCGGCGUGCCUAAUACAUGCAAGUCGAGCGAACGGACGAGAAGCUUGCUUCUCUGAUGUUAGCGGCGGACGGGUGAGUAACACGUGGAUAACCUACCUAUAAGACUGGGAUAACUUCGGGAAACCGUAGCUAAUACCGGAUAAUAUUUUGAACCGCGUGGUUCAAAAGUGAAAGACGGUCUUGCUGUCACUUAUAGAUGGAUCCGCGCUGCAUUAGCUAGUUGGUAAGGUAACGGCUUACCAAGGCAACGAUGCAUAGCCGACCUGAGAGGGUGAUCGGCCACACUGGAACUGAGACACGGUCCAGACUCCUACGUGAGGCAGCAGUAGGGAAUCUUCCGCAAUGGGCGAAAGCCUGACGGAGCAACGCCGCGUGAGUGAUGAAGGUCUUCGGAUCGUAAAACUCUGUUAUUAGGGAAGAACAUAUGUGUAAGUAACUGUGCACAUCUUGACGGUACCUAAUCAGAAAGCCACGGCUAACUACGUG